Molecule: ribosomal RNA, 440 nt
Filed under: uncultured bacterium
Lineage: Bacteria
Description: partial 16S ribosomal RNA
Rfam family: Bacterial small subunit ribosomal RNA
Source: RNAcentral
CCUACGGGAGGCAGCAGUGGGGGAUAUUGCACAAUGGGGGGAACCCUGAUGCAGCGACGCCGCGUGGGUGAAGAAGCGCCUCGGCGCGUAAAGCCCUGUCAGCAGGGAAGAAAAUGACGGUACCUGAAGAAGAAGCCCCGGCUAACUACGUGCCAGCAGCCGCGGUAAUACGUAGGGGGCAAGCGUUAUCCGGAUUUACUGGGUGUAAAGGGGGCGCAGACGGCAAUGCAAGCCAGGAGUGAAAGCCCGGGGCUCAACCCCGGGACUGCUCUUGGAACUGCGUGGCUGGAGUGCAGGAGGGGAAGGCGGAAUUCCAGGUGUAGCAGUGAAAUGCGUAGAUAUCAGGAGGAACACCGGUGGCGAAGGCGGCCUGCUGGACUGCAACUGACGUUGAGGCGCGAAAGCGUGGGGAGCAAACAGGAUUAGAUACCCCUGUAGUC